GGAUUAGAUACCCUGGUAGUCCACGCCGUAAACGAUCAUCACUCGCUGUUGGCGAUACACAGUCAGCGGCCAAGCGAAAGCAUUAAGUGAUGCACCUGGGAAGUACGGUCGCAAGACUGAAACUCAAAGGAAUUGACGGGGGCCCGCACAAGCGGUGGAGCAUGUGGUUUAAUUCGAUGAUACGCGAGGAACCUUACCAGGGCUUAAAUGCAGAAUGACAGGACCAGAGAUGGUUUUUUCUUCGGACAUUUUGCAAGGUGCUGCAUGGUUGUCGUCAGCUCGUGCCG
This 287-nucleotide ribosomal RNA is filed under the name uncultured bacterium. RNAcentral's name for it is "partial 16S ribosomal RNA". It matches the Rfam family "Bacterial small subunit ribosomal RNA", at positions 775 to 1067 of the family's 1533-position model. The record is from RNAcentral.